UGCAGUCGAACGAGAUCUUCGGAUCUAGUGGCGCACGGGUGAGUAACGCGUGGGAACCUACCUUUUAGUACGGGACAACGUUUGGAAACGAACGCUAAUACCGUAUACGCCCUCCGGGGGAAAGGUCAGCCGCUGAAAGAGGGGCCCGCGUCUGAUUAGCUUGUUGGUAAGGUAACGGCUUACCAAGGCAACGAUCAGUAGCUGGUCUGAGAGGAUGAUCAGCCACACUGGGACUGAGACACGGACCAGACUCCUACGGGAGGCAGCAGUGGGGAAUAUUGGACAAUGGAGGCAACUCUGAUCCAGCAAUGCCGCGUGUGUGAUGAAGGCCCUAGGGUUGUAAAGCACUUUCAACGGUGAAGAUGAUGACGGUAUCCGUAGAAGAAGCCCCGGCUAACUUCGUGCCAGCAGCCGCGGUAAUACGAAGGGGGCGAGCGUUAUUCGGAAUUAUUGGGCGUAAAGGGCCCGCAGGCUGCUUGAACAGUUAGACGUGAAAUCCCCGGGCUUAACCUGGGAACUGCGUUUAAUACUAGCAAGCUAGAGAAAUAGAGAGGAAAGUGGAACUCCCAGUGUAGAGGUGAAAUUCGUAGAUAUUGGGAAGAACACCAGUGGCGAAAGCGACUUUCUGGCUAUUUUCUGACGCUGAGAGCGAAAGCGUGGGGAGCAAACAGGAUAGAUACCCUGGUAGUCCACGCUGUAAACGAUGUGUGCUAGAUG
RNAcentral lists this ribosomal RNA (717 nucleotides) under uncultured Alphaproteobacteria bacterium. RNAcentral's name for it is "bacterial SSU rRNA". It matches the Rfam family "Bacterial small subunit ribosomal RNA", at positions 56 to 822 of the family's 1533-position model. The record is from RNAcentral. Lineage: Bacteria; Pseudomonadati; Pseudomonadota; Alphaproteobacteria.